UAAAAGUGUCGUCAAUAGACUGACAGCUAAGGGAUUUAUCCCUUAUGCUGACUGGAUAUUAGACGACCUAACCUGUAUGGGCAAGUAAGGCAUUUGCCUGGAUUGCGAAUACAGGCAGCGAUGUCGAGAGUGCAUAGCACGGAGACAUCGACUUUUA
This 157-nucleotide small RNA is filed under the name Clostridiales bacterium CHKCI001. RNAcentral's name for it is "Clostridiales-1 RNA". It matches the Rfam family "Clostridiales-1 RNA". Lineage: Bacteria; Bacillati; Bacillota; Clostridia; Eubacteriales. The record is from Rfam by way of RNAcentral.